RNAcentral lists this ribosomal RNA (429 nucleotides) under Verrucomicrobiota bacterium. RNAcentral's name for it is "Verrucomicrobia bacterium partial 16S ribosomal RNA". It matches the Rfam family "Bacterial small subunit ribosomal RNA", at positions 355 to 776 of the family's 1533-position model. The record is from RNAcentral. Lineage: Bacteria; Pseudomonadati; Verrucomicrobiota.
UAGGGAAUCUUCCGCAAUGGACGAAAGUCUGACGGAGCAACGCCGCGUGAGUGAAGAAGGAUUUCGGUUCGUAAAACUCUGUUGUUAGGGAAGAAAAAAUGUAUAGUAACUAUAUACAAAAGAGACGGUACCUAACCAGAAAGCCACGGCUAACUACGUGCCAGCAGCCGCGGUAAUACGUAGGUGGCAAGCGUUGUCCGGAAUUAUUGGGCGUAAAGCGCGCGCAGGUGGUUUAGAAAGUCUGAUGUGAAAGCCCACGGCUCAACCGUGGAGGGUCAUUGGAAACUAAUAAACUUGAGUGCAGGAGAGAAAAGUGGAAUUCCUAGUGUAGCGGUGACAUGCGUAGAGAUUAGGAGGAACACCGGUGGCGAAAGCGGCUUUUUGGCCUGCAACUGACACUGAGGCGCGAAAGCGUGGGGAGCAAACAGG